Long non-coding RNA from Gallus gallus (chicken), 6340 nucleotides. RefSeq lists it as uncharacterized. The record is from RefSeq and is a predicted model, not a curated record. NCBI's taxonomy places the organism in Eukaryota, Metazoa, Chordata, Aves, Galliformes, Phasianidae. The transcript is spliced from 2 exons.
GCCUAUAGAAAAGAAGAAUCACUGUUAGACUCAUUUCAAUAUUUAUAUAUUAAGCAGAUAUUGCUAAUAAUCAGAAACAAAAACCAGCCAUGUGUAUAUGAAAUGUCCUAGAAAUAUGUUCUCAAUUUCUCAACAAACAAGUCAGGAGCUAUCGUAAAGCAACAUGCACAGAUGGCUAACCCAGAAAUUCAGCCAGCAACACUGCAUGCUAUCAGGCAAGGUAAUAUGGCAGUUCAUAUUCUGAGACUCUCUUUUUUCAGGACCAGUAAACAAUUUUCUGUAUGCAUCCCAUUUUUCCAUGAGAAUACUACAGAGGAAAAAAAAGCAGUUCAAUCCUCCCUGGGAUUCCUGUCUACUAAAACCAAUAAGCACUCAGCUAGACUUUACUUGCAAUGUAGAAAGAAACAGGAGAUAAAAUAUUUCUGGUAGGGGAGAGAAGGAAGGAGUACAGCAACACUUAUUAAGUGAAUUCAUCAAACAUUAAAAAAUGAAAACAACUACAAGAGAAACACCAGUGCAUGGAGAGAAGUGCUGCCUGUCAAGUGCAAGUUCAUCCUACAAACAUCAGACCCAGAUCUUAAGAAGAAAGACUCACAAUAUCAUCUCAAUAAUUUUGAAACAUAUGCAGGAGAUCAGCAUGAACUGAAAUAGUUUUUACUUUCCUAACUUACUGUUUCUAUAUAUAGGUACAUUGGAAUGCAUACAGGACAGAAGUCUUCACAAAUUCACUUUCAGCAAAUGGUGAAACUGAAAAGCUCCCAUUAAUUGAAUCACUUGUUCUUUUCUUUUUUAGCAAAACAAUCAUCUAAACUAAAACAGGACCUAGACCAGCAAAGUUACAUGCUCUGCCAUGCAAAAAAAAUUCUAUAUUCCCUGUACAGUGGGUGCCAACAUAAUAACCACUCGAUCCUGUUCUCGUAAGUUUCCAUUUUAGGACUUCAUAUCAUAUGUCGCAGGCCAUCCUUAGCUUGUUUAGCUCUAUAUACUGUCUUUUACUCACCUCAUACAAGGUUCCAACCCAGAUCACGAAUUUUGUAAGCUACCAAAAUACAAACAUUUAAUAGUAGCAGCUGCUAAGGUAGAAUAAAAUCAAGCCUAAAGUUAAAUUGAGUAAAAGAGAUAGGGAUAUGAAGCCUUCCAGAUAAUCUGCAUCAGACAGAGCCUUAGCUUAUGCCUCAGGCAGCUCAGGCUAACAUCACCACAUCACUCAACCAUAGCAAAGCUGUUCUGACUCCACAUCACAAGGUGCUGCACCAGAAACAAAUAUCACAUGAACAUUUCUAUUUAUCUAUUGACAGGUGUGGUCACUUGAAGCAAUGAGACUGGCAGAAGUGUCUAUUUCACUUUAAUUUCCGGGAUUAAUUGUGGAUUUCCACAAGCAACAUUGUAUGCUUCACAAGGCACACCAAAAAGUCAUGGCUACAAACAAUUGGAAGUGUUAAAAGAGAACCGCCUCUGCUAACUUGCCUAGUGAGGUACAGAGUCACGCUGAGUGUUACAUCAGCUUUCUGACAAAUAGAUCAACACAGUGACUCCUAUGAACAUGCAAGUCAACACAGGAAGAAAAACAGAAAUAAUUUACUCACCGUAAGGCCUGUACAAGAUUGAGAUCAGCAAACUCAUGGAGUUCAACAAAAGCCUGAAGAACUUUAAUAUUAAAUUCAUCUCUGUGAAAGAGAAAAAUGGAAAUAAACAAUUACAAUGUUGAACUUCAAAGCCUUCUUAGUUACCUCUAUCUUUUUCUUAUAGAAUAAGCAAACAAACAAAUGAUUAGACUGAUCAAAUCAAACCACCAGGAAUUGUUAUCAUGUUCCAUUUUAAUUGCUAGUGUUUUGCCCGUUUCUGCUAGCAUUAAAAAGCUAAGCCAUCAAGAGCCAGGACACUUGAAUAGAUUUUAUCACUGCUGUUUUAAAUGCCCUGAAAGUGGCCUGUCUUUCCUUGCUUCAUGUUUGUCAUUAUUGCACCUACCUUCAGAGGGGAAAAUAUCUGAUAAAUGUAUCUAGUACAAUCAUCUUUUGCAGCAAUUGUGUCGUGAUCACUUAAAACAACAGUUAAGGUAGGAUUAAUUUCCUUAGCCAUACAACAUAGGACAAGUAGGCUAUCCUUCAGCUGCUUAUAAGAACAGCUUUUUCAAAUAAGUACUUACUAUGUACCACGUUCUUACUCCAUUCUCAAAAAUUGUUACAAUGGAAGUUUACUAAAAGCUUUUGACUUGGUUUGCUCUCAGCUAUCUUUGACACCAUUAUGCAAAACCUGAGCCCAAGUAUGCUUUAAUACAAGGUUAUCUGAAUGCAAAAGUUAUAUUUAAAGGCUGAUGAACACAAAAUGAUUUGAAUGCAGAUAGAAUUUAGUCUACACCACCACUACAUUCAUAUGCCAGAAGCAGAAAGGUUUGUAAUCCUCAGGGUGUGCUUUAAAUACAUAACCGAGGCAGAAUGUUGCAUAUCAGCCUCCACCCAAAAAUAGAAAGGUGUGCAUUCACCAAGAAUUAUCUGUUGCGUUACUGACUAAAUGCUUGUAGCUAAUCUGUAGCUCACAAGCAAAUACUUGAAAGCAAACCAUUCCAUUACGAUGUUUCCAGACUGUUCACAGAACCACAAGCAAAAAGAAGCAAUUCUCAUCAAAUUCAAUAAUAUACAAUUGAGCUGCAUACUACUUUGCAAAGCACUGAACUCGUAUAAAGUACAACAGCACAGAGCACUUAAUAGGGCUGCUUUGUUAUUUUAAGCCAAAGAUGUACCUUGGCUAAGCAAUUUCACAAUUCUCCUCAGAUUUUAGCACCAACUUAACAGAUUAAAAAAAAAAAAAAACAAUUAAAUUUUUGCUAUUCAGCACAAAUCACUACAAUUUCUCAUAUUUAAAUAAUGGAAAAUCCAGAAGGUGGAUACUGAAAUAAUAAUACAUCUUUGAAUUCUAUAUGUGAGCAGCAACGUGACCAUUCUACAGCAUGCCAGUGGGACUGGUCAUAUUGGUGAGAUCUUUCUGCAUGAGCACACAGAUUCCAGGCUUGGGAGUAGAAUACUGGGAGUAUUUCAGGAGGUAGAACAUAACUCUGAAAAAUGCAUACAGACUGCUUUAUGCAAGCUUUGUUACAAUUUGGUAGAUAUUAACAUACAAGUAAUUGCACAACACUACCCAAAUAUUCAACAUCCUAAUGCUUUCAUAUGAAACUGUUGCAAUGUCUACAUACAUGGUCCAGAAACUGCACUGAAAACAUUUUCAAAAUAUAUGUACUACAGUGAAAACUUUAAUUAAGCUUGUUGAUGUCAGGAGGAAAUAGUGCACAAACUAAGCUGCUGAUGCUGUAAAGAGAUUACAGAUGUCUCACAGGGGAUCUGCCAGAACACAUCACUACAGCAGCAGAUCCUAAAUGAGUCAGCUUUUAAACCUCCCUAACUGGCAUUAGAACCAGAACAUGCUCAAGCACGCAGAUGCAUGUACUCCAACCUACCUGCUACUUCUAUCUCUUGCUGCUCCCUUUCCCAAAAUCCAUUCCUGGGUUGCACCUCAAUGGAAGCAAUUUGCAUUUUAUUGCAUUUUGCACGUUUAUUGCGCUAGAACUGAUGCAGCUGCUCUGAGAGAUGCCUCCUUACUAAGGGGAAGCCUGUGUGCAGAGAUGACACUAAAACCUGCUUACCACUGCUAUCCCUGGAAUGAUCGAUUUUAAUAAGUAAUUUCUUUCCUAUCAAUUAUUGUCAGUUGUAAACCACACCUUGUCUAGGGAGGGUGUCAGGAAUUACUGAAACUGUUGUAAUACAAUUCUCCACCAUUCCAAAAGCUUAUGGUAUUAAAUUCUGCUCUAAUGCCAAACUUAAGGAUAUUUUCUCAAAAUGGUAAGCCACAAUGAAUUAAAUAUUAUUCAACAAUGGAUCCAUUUAAAAAAAAAACAACUGAUCAGAGAAAAAACCCAUCUAAUAGGUUAGUAUUAGUCACCUCUGUAGCUUUGCUACAUCUGUGAGGAGAAGCUUUUCGUGCAGCCUCUGAAGGGGAAGGUAACUACUACAACUGCUAAGUAUGCUUUGUGAACAAGAUGAAGUUUCAGUAUUACUCUUUUACCUUUCACCGAGGUAAUCGCCGAUUACCGUUUUAUUUAAUCCUUCUCCUUUGUAAAGGAACUGUGCAAUGUCUUCUGCAGUGUUCUGCAAGAGGUCAUUUUCUAUCAGAAACUGUAUUCCCUAGGAAAAGCAAUUUUAGAGAAAAAGGAAUAUUAUGUUUUCUUCCACAGUAUCCGUGUAAAUACUGCUUGUAACAUUUGGCACCAAUAUAGUGUCACAGACAUACACACAGCAUGUAAGAGUUAAAUUGGUCUAUAGCUGAUUUUAUUUACCUAUUUUACAUGAAAUAGUAAACAAAUGAAUUUUAUUCCCAGCCAGAUAAGCAGCAGUUUGUACUGGUUGGCAGAUAUAAAUGGGAACACAUUUUUAAGCCUAGAAGUACCAGGUGGCAGUUUGAAUUCCUUAAUUACAGAAAUAUCAAAUAUUGUCUUAACAGGUUAAUGUAAAUUGGCCUGCUCAGCACAUUGCAUAAAUGUCUGAAGAUAAUCUGUAAAAUCACAUAACAAAGAGGUAUGCAGGAAUAACUUAAUCACCACCAUGACAAAAAAAUAAAGCAUUUGCAAACUGCUCCCCAGUACAUCAAGCCACUACUUGCAGGAGAAGUUAUGGCUGAAGACACUGAAACCAGUUUAAAGAAUUUAUGCUGACACUGGGAAUUGGCUGACUGCAAAUGGUGCCUGAAUUGAAGUACUCACAAAGGGCUGUUCAUGAAACCACUCCAGCCUCCAUAGAGCUUCUACCAAAGCCAGGAGGAGCCUUACCUAAACUCAGUGCACACCUGAUCAACCCCUGGAUUCCUACACUUCUGUAAAUGACUGGCCUCAGAACUUGCCCACUCUGGGAUGCCCAGAGAGCUUUUUGCAAAGCAGGAAAUAAAGGAGUCUAUGGGUUAUUUGAAGCUUACAUAAAGGCUGGAAAUGAUGUUAUUCCAGCACUCUGCAGAUCAUGAACAGACAGCUCUUUAUGUAUAUGUAAAAUUUAUUUCAGGCUUCAAUACCUCAUUUUCUUUGUUAAAUCAGGUCAGAUUUUUUUCUUGUUGUUGUUAGGCAGAUAAUAAUUUAUUAUAAAAAACCAAAGUCUUAAAUGCAGCUCUCCCCUAACAAUUGCAUCAUCUGAAACUUAGUUUGAUCACAUGCUGGUAGUCUGACAACUCAGUACUUUUAUAAGUCAUUUCAGAACAGAUGUGAUUUCAUUGCAAAGAAAACAUCAUUUUUUAUCUUGAAGCAGUAAUAGCUGAGAUUUCCUCAAAACAGAUCAUCUCAAGUAUAUUUGAUAACAUAUGUGCAAAAAACUCACCUGACUAUAAAACAUACUGCUUAUUUUCUCCAUACCAAGUAAUACAAAAAGUUUCUCAGAUCUGCCAACCAAGAAAGAACCCUCUUUCCAACAAACAUGAGAAACUACAGCUGCAGGUUGCUUUGCUCAACACCCAGACUGCACUAUUCACGUGUAAUGCAAACAGACUGCCCAGAAGAGUUUGUACAAGUUGUACAGGUUACUGAAAAAUGGAAAUGACUGGAAAUGUGGAAAACAAAUGUCUCUGCAUAGAAACAGGUAUCUGAGCAUGCUGCAAAAAUCAGUGGGUUUGAGGGGUUUUUUUUGUUUGUUGGUUUUUUUUUUUGUAAUUCUUCAGAUCUUUAAAGAAGCAGAAAUCAGAUAGACAGAAAAGGAAUGUCUGGGACAACUCUCAUGUCUGGAAUACACUGUAAAAUAGGUCAGCCAAACACUCAUCAACUCCUCCGCUAUCUUUAGUCUCGAUGCAACUCCUCUUUAUGAAGGCUGAUUAAGACAGAAGACAGCUGUAUGAGUUUGACCUCCACACACAAAGUCACCAUCACACAACAAUGCGUUAUUCACUACAAGUGCUGUAUGGUUUUUAGGUUUGUUUGUUUUUUAGAAGCCUGUGCAAUUAAAUCUUUGAAUUUCAGGUUUUAGAGCAACUUACUGACAAAUUCUGCACUUCUUUAGAUCCUGCUUUUGUCACAGAGAGUCCAUUUCCUGGGCCCACCACAGACAGCAGUGACACCCACUGCUGGGAAUACAAAGCUCAGCUUCAGGUCCCCUGCACAGGGAUUUCUGAAGCCUUGUUUUAUUUUGCUGUGUUUGUUUGUUGGUUUUGUUUUUCCCAAACUUGACCAUUACAGCCCUUUACCUGAUGCAACCUAACUGCAAUCAACACAGCUAUUUUCAACAACGAUCUUCAGGUCAGGGGACAAUCACUUUACAUUUAGGUUAUCCCGUUAGAAAACGUAAAACUCUUCUAAUAAAAAUGGUUAAAGAAAUCA